Acomys russatus (golden spiny mouse) is the source of this 144-nucleotide small nucleolar RNA. RefSeq annotates it as small nucleolar RNA SNORA48. The transcript has a single exon. Lineage: Eukaryota; Metazoa; Chordata; Mammalia; Rodentia; Muridae. The record is from RefSeq and is a predicted model, not a curated record.
GCUCCCUGGCAGUGAGCAAAGAGACACCUUGUUGAUUGUGGUGUUCUUGUAUCAAUCAGAGGUAGAGCAGAUGGCAGUCCUUUGUUCAUUCUAGCUGGAUGCCUGCCUUGGUGGUCAAAGCUAUCUUAUGCCUAGGGCAUAUAA